Molecule: ribosomal RNA, 273 nt
Filed under: uncultured bacterium
Lineage: Bacteria
Description: partial 16S ribosomal RNA
Rfam family: Bacterial small subunit ribosomal RNA
Source: RNAcentral
UACGGAGGGUGCAAGCGUUGUCCGGAUUUAUUGGGUUUAAAGGGUGCGUAGGCGGCUUUGUAAGUCAGUGUUGAAAUAUGGCAGCUUAACUGUCAGACUGGCAUUGAUACUGCAGAGCUUGAGUACAGUUGAGGUAGGCGGAAUUUAUGGUGUAGCGGUGAAAUGCAUAGAUACCAUAAAGAACACCGAUUGCGAAGGCAGCUUGCUAAGCUGUAACUGACGCUGAGGCACGAAAGCGUGGGGAUCGAACAGGAUUAGAAACCCGGGUAGUCC